Molecule: non-coding RNA, 69 nt
Organism: Rattus norvegicus (Norway rat)
Lineage: Eukaryota; Metazoa; Chordata; Mammalia; Rodentia; Muridae
Source: Rfam
GGGGAUUUGGCUCAGUGGUAGAGCGCUUGCCUAGGAAGCGCAAGGUCCUGGGUUCGAUCCCUAGCCCCG